RNAcentral lists this ribosomal RNA (478 nucleotides) under uncultured bacterium. RNAcentral's name for it is "SSU rRNA". It matches the Rfam family "Bacterial small subunit ribosomal RNA", at positions 26 to 521 of the family's 1533-position model. The record is from RNAcentral.
AGGACGAACGCUGGCGGCGCGCCUAAUACAUGCAAGUCGAGCGAGAACCAGGACUUCGGUCCUGGGGAGAGCGGCGAACGGGUGCGUAUCACGUGAGCAACCUGCCUCGGAGACCGGAAUAACUCGAGGAAACUCGGGCUAAUGCCGGAUGCCCUCGGUGGACCGCAUGGUCCGGCGAGGAAAUGGAUUCCGCUCCGAGAUGGGCUCGCGGCCUAUCAGCUUGUUGGUGGGUAACGGCCUACCAAGGCAACGACGGGUAGCUGGUCUGAGAGGACGAUCAGCCACACUGGGACUGAGACACGGCCCAGACUCCUACGGGAGGCAGCAGUGGGGAAUAUUGGACAAUGGGCGCAAGCCUGAUCCAGCCAUGCCGCGUGAGUGAUGAAGGCCCUAGGGUUGUAAAGCUUCUUUUGUGCGGGAAGAUAAUGACGGUACCGCAAGAAUAAGCCCCGGCUAACUUCGCGCCAGCAGCCGCGGU